AGGGUGUAAACGCUGCCGACUUGGUGUUGGAGGCCCUUCGGGGGCAUUCAGUGCCGGAGAGAAGUUGUUAAGUCGGCCACUUGGGAGUACGUCCGCAAGGAUGAAACUUAAAGGAAUUGGCGGGGGAGCACCGCAACGGGAGGAGCGUGCGGUUUAAUUGGAUUCAACACCGGAAACUCACCAAGGGCGACUGUUACAUGAAAGUCAGGUUGAUGACCUUACUAGAUUUUCAGAGAGGUGGUGCAUGGCGUCAGUGACU
RNAcentral lists this ribosomal RNA (259 nucleotides) under uncultured archaeon. Its description in RNAcentral is "partial 16S ribosomal RNA". It matches the Rfam family "Archaeal small subunit ribosomal RNA", at positions 748 to 1008 of the family's 1478-position model. The record is from RNAcentral.